UACGUAGGGAGCGAGCGUUGUCCGAAGUUACUGGGCGUAAAGCGCGCGUAGGCGGGCUGUUAAGUGAGAGGUGAAAGGCUGGGGCUUAACCCCAUGCAGUGCCUCUCAUACUGGCGGUCUUGAGUGCGGCAGGGAGAAGUGGAAUGGCUGGUGUAGCGGUGAAAUGCGCAGAUAUCAGGAGGAACACCAAUGGCGAAGGCAGCUCGCUGGGACGGUACUGACGCUGAGACGCGAAAGCGUGGGGAGCAAACAGG
RNAcentral lists this ribosomal RNA (254 nucleotides) under uncultured bacterium. RNAcentral describes it as "partial 16S ribosomal RNA". It matches the Rfam family "Bacterial small subunit ribosomal RNA", at positions 524 to 776 of the family's 1533-position model. The record is from RNAcentral.